GAUUCAAUGGUGUAGAGGUAUCAUGGGCGCUUGCCAUGCGCCCGACCCGGGUUCGAUUCCCGGUUGAAUCA
Molecule: transfer RNA, 71 nt
Filed under: Tuber melanosporum (Perigord truffle)
Lineage: Eukaryota; Fungi; Ascomycota; Pezizomycetes; Pezizales; Tuberaceae
Also listed under: 1 other name
Description: tRNA-Gly (GCC) (tRNA-Gly-GCC-2-1, tRNA-Gly-GCC-2-2)
Rfam family: tRNA
About the family: Transfer RNA (tRNA) molecules are approximately 80 nucleotides in length. Their secondary structure includes four short double-helical elements and three loops (D, anti-codon, and T loops).
Source: RNAcentral